This 437-nucleotide ribosomal RNA is filed under the name uncultured bacterium. RNAcentral's name for it is "partial 16S ribosomal RNA". It matches the Rfam family "Bacterial small subunit ribosomal RNA", at positions 29 to 507 of the family's 1533-position model. The record is from RNAcentral.
AGCGAACGCUGGCGGCAGGCUUAACACAUGCAAGUCGAGCGGGCAUCCUUGUGGUGUCAGCGGCAGACGGGUGAGUAACGCGUGGGAACGUGCCCUUCGGUUCGGAAUAACUCAGGGAAACUUGAGCUAAUACCGGAUACGUGCGAGAGCAGAAAGGUUUAUCUGCCGAAGGAUCGGCCCGCGUCUGAUUAGCUAGUUGGUGAGGUUAUGGCUCACCAAGGCGACGAUCAGUAGCUGGUCUGAGAGGAUGAUCAGCCACACUGGGACUGAGACACGCCCCAGACUCCUACGGGAGGCAGCAGUGGGGAAUAUUGGACAAUGGGGGCAACCCUGAUCCAGCCAUGCCGCGUGAGUGAUGACGGCCUUAGGGUUGUAAAGCUCUUUUCUCCGGGACGAUAAUGACGGUACCGGAGGAAUAAGCCCCGGCUAACUUCGUG